Molecule: ribosomal RNA, 207 nt
Filed under: uncultured bacterium
Lineage: Bacteria
Description: partial 16S ribosomal RNA
Rfam family: Bacterial small subunit ribosomal RNA
Source: RNAcentral
UGCGUAGGUGGUUUGUUAAGUCUGAUGUGAAACGCCCCGGGCUCAACCUGGGAAUUGCAUUGGAUACUGGCAGGCUAGAGUGCGGUAGAGGGUAGUGGAAUUCCCGGUGUAGCAGUGAAAUGCGUAGAGAUCGGGAGGAACAUCUGUGGCGAAGGCGACUGCCUGGACCAGCACUGACACUGAGGCACGAAAGCGUGGGAGCAAACA